RNAcentral lists this ribosomal RNA (469 nucleotides) under uncultured bacterium. RNAcentral's name for it is "partial 16S ribosomal RNA". It matches the Rfam family "Bacterial small subunit ribosomal RNA", at positions 28 to 507 of the family's 1533-position model. The record is from RNAcentral.
GACGAACGCUGGCGGCGUGCUUAACACAUGCAAGUCGAACGGUGAAGCGCGUGCUUGCACUCGUGGAUCAGUGGCGAACGGGUGAGUAACACGUGAGUAACCUGCCCAUCACUCUGGGAUAAGUACUGGAAACGGUGUCUAAUACUGGAUACGACCACCUCCUGCAUGGUGUGGUGGUGGAAAGAUUUAUCGGUGAUGGAUGGACUCGCGGUCUAUCAGCUUGUUGGCGGGGUAAUGGCCCACCAAGGCGACGACGGGUAGCCGGCCUGAGAGGGUGACCGGCCACACUGGGACUGAGACACGGCCCAGACUCCUACGGGAGGCAGCAGUGGGGAAUAUUGCACAAUGGGCGAAAGCCUGAUGCAGCGACGCCGCGUGAGGGAUGACGGCCUUCGGGUUGUAAACCUCUUUCGGCAGUGAAGAAGCGAAAGUGACGGUACCUGCAGAAGAAGCACCGGCUAACUACGUG